AUGAACGCUGGCGGCGUGCCUCAUCCCUGCAAGUCGAGCGAACGGACGAGAAGCUUGCUUCUCUGAUGUUAGCGGCGGACGGGUGAGUAACACGUGGAUAACCUACCUAUAAGACUGGGAUAACUUCGGGAAACCGUAGCUAAUACCGGAUAAUAUUUUGAACCGCAUGGUUCAAAAGUGAAAGACGGUCUUGCUGUCACUUAUAGAUGGAUCCGCGCUGCAUUAGCUAGUUGGUAAGGUAACGGCUUACCAAGGCAACGAUGCAUAGCCGACCUGAGAGGGUGAUCGGCCACACUGGAACUGAGACACGGUCCAGACUCCUACGGGAGGCAGCAGUAGGGAAUCUUCCGCAAUGGGCGAAAGCCUGACGGAGCAACGCCGCGUGAGUGAUGAAGGUCUUCGGAUCGUAAAACUCUGUUAUUAGGGAAGAACAUAUGUGUAAGUAACUGUGCACAUCUUGACGGUACCUAAUCAGAAAGCCACGGCUAACUACGUG
Molecule: ribosomal RNA, 496 nt
Filed under: uncultured bacterium
Lineage: Bacteria
Description: partial 16S ribosomal RNA
Rfam family: Bacterial small subunit ribosomal RNA
Source: RNAcentral